GACGAACGCUGGCGGCGUGCUUAACACAUGCAAGUCGAACGCUGAAGCCCGCUUGCGGGUGGAUGAGUGGCGAACGGGUGAGUAACACGUGAGUAACCUGCCCUUCACUUUGGGAUAACCUUCGGAAACGGGGGCUAAUACUGGAUAUGACUCAUGGCCGCAUGGUUGUGGGUGGAAAGAUUCUUUGGUGGGGGAUGGGCUCGCGGCCUAUCAGCUUGUUGGUGGGGUGAUGGCCUACCAAGGCGACGACGGGUAGCCGGCCUGAGAGGGCGACCGGCCACACUGGGACUGAGACACGGCCCAGACUCCUACGGGAGGCAGCAGUGGGGAAUAUUGCACAAUGGGCGCAAGCCUGAUGCAGCGACGCCGCGUGGGGGAUGACGGCCUGGUGUAA
Molecule: ribosomal RNA, 394 nt
Filed under: uncultured bacterium
Lineage: Bacteria
Description: bacterial SSU rRNA
Rfam family: Bacterial small subunit ribosomal RNA
Source: RNAcentral